This 409-nucleotide long non-coding RNA is filed under the name Homo sapiens (human). RNAcentral's name for it is "long non-coding RNA NONHSAT120667.2". The record is from RNAcentral. Lineage: Eukaryota; Metazoa; Chordata; Mammalia; Primates; Hominidae.
AACUGCACCUCCAUCAGUGGCGAUCUCCACAUCCUGCCGGUGGCAUUUAGGGGGACUCCUUCACACAUACUCCUCCUCUGGAUCCACAGGAACUGGAUAUUCUGAAAACCGUAAAGGAAAUCACAGGUUUUUGCUGAUUCAGGCUUGGCCUGAAAACAGGACGGACCUCCAUGCCUUUGAGAACCUAGAAAUCAUACGCGGCAGGACCAAGCAACAGACCAGACAACUGUAUCCAGUGUGCCCACUACAUUGACGGCCCCCACUGCGUCAAGACCUGCCCGGCAGGAGUCAUGGGAGAAAACAACACCCUGGUCUGGAAGUACGCAGACGCCGGCCAUGUGUGCCACCUGUGCCAUCCAAACUGCACCUACGGUGCACUGGGCCAGGUCUUGAAGGCUGUCCAACGAAU